CCUCAGAGGGAUGGAAAUAUGUAGCCACAGAGUGGGUUCUUGCGGCCUGCAGAGGAGGCAGCUGAGAGCGAGGAGGAUGACAACCUGUCGUCCGUGCUGCACCAGCGUGCUGAGAUCCCAUGGCGAGCCUGCGCCAAGUACCUAUCCUCUGCCGGCAUCCUGCUCCUGUCGUUGCUGGUCUUCUCACAGCUGCUCAAGCACAUGGUCCUGGUGGCCAUCGACUACUGGCUGGCCAAGUGGACCGACAGCGCCCUGACCCUGACCCCUGCAGCCAGGAACUGCUCCCUCAGCCAGGAGUGCACCCUCGACCAGACUGUCUAUGCCAUGGUGUUCACGGUGCUCUGCAGCCUGGGCAUUGUGCUGUGCCUCGUCACGUCUGUCACUGUGGAGUGGACAGGGCUGAAGGUGGCCAAGAGACUGCACCGCAGCCUGCUAAACCGUAUCAUCCUAGCCCCCAUGAGGUUUUUUGAGACCACGCCCCUUGGGAGCAUCCUGAACAGAUUUUCAUCCGACUGUAACACCAUCGACCAGCACAUCCCAUCCACACUGGAGUGCCUGAGCCGCUCCACCCUGCUCUGUGUCUCAGCCCUGGCCGUCAUCUCCUAUGUCACACCUGUGUUCCUCGUGGCCCUCUUGCCCCUGGCCAUCGUGUGCUACUUCAUCCAGAAGUACUUCCGGGUGGCGUCCAGGGACCUGCAGCAGCUGGAU
This 708-nucleotide small RNA is filed under the name Pan troglodytes (chimpanzee). RNAcentral describes it as "retained intron". The record is from RNAcentral. Lineage: Eukaryota; Metazoa; Chordata; Mammalia; Primates; Hominidae.